CUACGGGACGCUCCAGUGAGGAAUAUUGCACAAUGGGGGGAACCCUGAUGCAGCAACGCCGCGUGGAGGAUGACGCAUUUCGGUGUGUAAACUCCUUUUAUAUGUCAAGAAAAUGACGGUAGCAUAUGAAUAAGCACCGGCUAACUCCGUGCCGGCAGCCGCGGUAAUACGGAGGGUGCAAGCGUUACUCGGAAUCACUGGGCGUAAAGGACGCGUAGGCGGGUUGGAAAGUCAGGUGUGAAAUCCUACGGCUUAACUGUAGAACUGCACUUGAAACUUCUAAUCUAGAGUAUGGGAGGGGGAGAUGGAAUUAGUGGUGUAGGGGUAAAAUCCGUAGAUAUCACUAGGAAUACCUAAAGCGAAGGCGAUCUCCUGGAACAUUACUGACGCUAAGGCGUGAAAGCGUGGGGAGCAAACAGGAUUAGAUACCCCCGUAGUC
Molecule: ribosomal RNA, 439 nt
Filed under: uncultured bacterium
Lineage: Bacteria
Description: partial 16S ribosomal RNA
Rfam family: Bacterial small subunit ribosomal RNA
Source: RNAcentral